Molecule: long non-coding RNA, 4012 nt
Organism: Marmota monax (woodchuck)
Lineage: Eukaryota; Metazoa; Chordata; Mammalia; Rodentia; Sciuridae
Exons: 3
Source: RefSeq, a predicted model, not a curated record
AAAAAAAAAAAAAAAUGAGGUGGUGCUGGGGAUAUGACUCAGUAGAAGAGCAUCCCUGGAUUGCUUCCCCAAUACAAAAAAAAAAAAAAAACCCUGCCCCCUGGGCCAGUUACAUACCACCAAUCACAAAGGCUAAAACUAGUCCAUUCUUCAUUUCUAUGAAUCAUUCACAAGAGAACAAAGGCAUCAAACUAGACACAAAAAGAUUUUUAAAAAAAAAAAAAAAAAGGAUAGGAUGACCAACUUGUCCCUGUAUGCCUGGGCCUUUUUGUUUAGCACAGAAAGACCCACAUCUCUGUAAAUCCUCUGUCCCAGGGAAACCAGGGCAGUUUUCUCUGUUUCCUCUAGGGAGGAAAAAAGAUCCUCUGGAAAUAACAUAAAGCACCCUCUCUGAUGCUCAGAAGGGCUUGUGCAUCAAUUAGACAAAGGCCUGGAUAUUAGGGGAAUUUUAAAGAAGUCAUUUUAUUUAGCAGCUAGAUGAAGAUUCAAUGCAAAUAUUUAAAUACUGUUAAAAGCAAAUAAAGCAUUUCCAUCAAACAGUCAUGACUUCACAGUCUUCACGAAUCAAAGAACUUUAUAUGAAAUUCAUUUUUAUUUAUUUAUUUUAUCCUCUAAUAAUUAAACUGAUUAUGUAUUUUAAUAUUAAGAAUAGCUAUAUUUCAGUUGUAUAGCAGACCUCAGUUUUUAUGAUGGAUACUAAGUUCUACAAUUAAUACUGUUUUCCUUUUCACAUUGGUUACUAAAAGCCAAAGACCAAAAUUUCAUUCAAAUCCUCAAGUAAAACAAAUAAGAGAAAUGAAAUCUAUUCUGAGUAUUAACUUUGCCCAUAGUUUUAAUUUAUUUUUUUCUUAGUCUUAUUUUCCUUUCUUAUUUAUUUAUUUAUUUUGGUACUAGGGAUGGAACCCAGGGGCACUCAACCACUGACCUUAAUCCCAGCCCUUUUUAUAUUUAUUUAUUUAUUUAUUUAUUUUAUUUGAGACAGGGUCUCACUAAGUUGCCCAGGCUGGCCUUGAACUUGUGAUCCUCCUAUCUCAGUCUCCUGAGUUGCUGGAAUUACAGGCAUGCACCACCACACCUGGAGCCUUAUUUUCUCUAAUUUUUUUGAUUUAGGAAAAAAGUUACAUGAUAUUUAUUCAUGUGUUCUACAAAUAAUCAUUGAACAAGCAGCACUUCAAGUGCUAGGGACAGAACAAUGAAUAAAACCAAUUCCUUGCUCUCAUGGAGCUGGCUUUCUAGCAAGGAAAGACAGGCCAAAAAAAAAAAAUGAAAUGAAACAAAAGUACAUUGGAAGGUGUUAGGUGUCGUGAGUUGAGAAAGUGAGGAGAUGGAGACUGAGAUACCAAUAGCACACAGAAAGGCUGCCAUUGUGGAAGGACGGCCUCUUAGGUCAGGGGACAUUGGACUCAAUGAAUGAGGUGUGAGGAUACCUGGGGGAAGAUUGUACCAAGCAGAGGGAAUAGCAUGUGCAAAGGCCCUGAGGUGGUAGGUUGAUGGUGUGUUCAGUGCUAAGAAUGCAGUUUGGCUGCAGGGAAAGUAAGAGGGGAAAAUGAUGGGACCUGAGAGCAGAGAGAUAGGGAAGUCAGACCAGGGAGGAUAUUGCAGAUCCUGGAAAGGACUUCAGAGUUUUAUUCUGAGGAGAUGGGAGCUGUCAGUUUUGGAGAUCAUGAUCUAACAUAUAAGAGACAUCUGACAGCUAUUUCAAUAAUGGACUGAGAGUGAGGGGAGAAGCAGGAAGACCAGAAAGGAGGCAACUUGUGGUGAGCCGCUUCUGCCGUUUCUGCAGACUAUGGUCGCCAUUACAAGAUGACGCUGGCUUCACUGUGGUCUGUGACAAACAACUUCUUAUCUGGGAAAGUUGGCACAUGAUUUUUCACCACCCUGUGAGAAAGCUCCACGCGGCAGCUUUGCAUUGGGGCUUGGGAUGCUUUAUUAAGGCUGGGAGGGGCAUCCGAGAGAGAGAAGAAGAAAUAUCCAGGGCCUGAAUAAACUGUUGAAAGAAGAUUCCCGAGUUGCGUCUUCCUUGCGGGCAAGGGGUCGCGACAGCAACUGAAUAGUCUUCCAGAACAUGCAAACAGGAUGGUAACAGUGGAAGCUGUCAACAGUGGUAUUUUUGGCACAUUUUGAAGGUAAGACCAGCAGGAUGUGCUAAGGAUUCAACAGCAGGUAUAAACAACUCUGAAAAGCUGAAAAUGACAUUGAUGGGGAGUAGCAUGGCCUACUGCAAUGGUCCUUGCAGCCAUCUGGGGAAUGGAGAAGACUGUCAGUGCUUGGCCUACCUCCUGGGAAGUCUGGCUUUAUUCUGUGGUAGAACCCUACAUUGUAUUGUUUGAAAGCUUCUCCAGGAGACAGAACCACUGGGAGAGUACAAAAAGCACCGGUUACGAAUCAGACCACCUGAGUGUGAAUCUCUCCUCUGCCAUUUCCUAGAAUGUGACUUCAGGGCUUCAGAUCUCGGGAAAUAUGGACUAAAAACACACAAAGCCAAGAAGGGCAGGCAGGGCAAUCAAGGAUGAGUGAACUUGAAGGCCCACUGGUCAAUGAUGAGGACCAGGAAUGACCCCUGUGGGUGUUCAUGAUGGAUUCGAGAAGCAGUUGUCAAGAGUAAUUUUGAGGAUGUGCUGAGAAGGCAACACCAGGAGAUACAGAAUUGCCAUCCAGAGCAGCCUGAGCUCGGCUCCAAUCUCCCUCCAGAAACAGGAUGCCCUCUCUUACUUCAGCCCAGCAACUCACAUCGACCCAGUGUAUGAAACCCAGGAUGGGUUCCUUCCUCAAGUCCCACAGCUGUGGUGCAAGUGGAGCAGGUAGGGGCAGGCUGCAACAAAUCCUAGGUUUCUAUGUCCCUUUUACGUAUCUCUAACGAAUAAACCCAUUUUACACAGCCUGUUGUCUACAGGUGUGUUCUGCCUCUCUGCAUUAGGGAGCCAGUGCACCAUGAACUUGCUUCACGCACCCUAGUUGCAACAGCAUCAUGGAAGCCAAGCAUGGAAAGUUCUGGAAAGGCUAGGAUGAGCCUCAGGCCCCAGUGAUCCGGAGAGGCUUCCUGGUAAACAACACGUGAUCUGCAAAAGAAGCCUCUCUCAGGAGAAGGAAGGGAUGACUCCAGACUGCAGGAGAGGGGGAGAAGAUAAGCAAAAGAAUCAGGAAGUCAGUUUCUGCUGCUUCCCAGAAACUUGGCAAUGAGGAGGAGGACUGUGACUUUACCCUAGAAGUGCAGCAAGGUGCCCAAAGCUUCAAGAGAAGGCAGGCCCAUGCACAUGGGGAAGCAUGAGGGGAAGAGGGAGAAGGAAGGCAGAGGACAGGGGAUCACAGGCCCAGGACAAAUACUGGAUCUGAGCCAGGGAAGGGGCUUCAAAGACAGAAGAACACAUUUUCCUCUGCAAAGGUAAAAACUGAGGACUUGGAAACUGAGGUAGAUGAGGCCUAGAAAGGAUCAGACUGGAGGUCAAACACAAGUGGGCUUGCGCUCUGACUUGUCUGUUUCCAGGAUGUGUGGAUCUGGAUAGAUCAUGGCAGACUGCAGUCAUCUUCUUCACGUACACACAGCUUUCCUUUUCUUUAUGGACCUUCCCCACCCCACGCCCUGCCCCUGACAGGCUCUCUCUAAGUUGCCCAGGCUGGCCUGGAAUUUGUCAUCUUCCUGUCUCAGCUUCCCAAGUAGCUGGGAUUAUAUGCAUGCACCACCACAUCCAGCUUCAUAUAUAGGGUUGUUUUUCUGUUGAGGGCCACAGCCGAGUCGGGAUGACGCAUGGCAUUUUUGCCAGAACGGAGUGGUUGAGAGGUGAUGCCAACAAGCCACUGAGAUGAUAAUGGUUAUGUUAAGCUGUGUAUAUUAGACCCCUGCUGUCCGCCUCGGCCUGCUACUUUGGAGUUCUCACGGGGAUUCCCGGAGAGUUCCCAUUGGUUGGGGAAGUGCCGGAGGAGGGAUUUCCGGGUUGGUGGUUCCGAGAGGAGCCGCAUGGCGUUCGGGAGAGUUCCCGGGAAGUGUGUGUAGAGUGCCGGUGAGAGUUUGGGA